Ixodes scapularis (black-legged tick) is the source of this 174-nucleotide long non-coding RNA. RefSeq lists it as uncharacterized. The record is from RefSeq and is a predicted model, not a curated record. The transcript is spliced from 3 exons. Lineage: Eukaryota; Metazoa; Arthropoda; Arachnida; Ixodida; Ixodidae.
CGAGUUUGUUCUCGGCCACCAAGAGCAAGUAUUUUCAAGGUCUUGGUGGCAAGCACCAGCCAAUCAAGGCCAGACGUUUGCUCUUUGUCGCUCAUGGCAAUUGUUUUCAAGCCAAUGGCUGCAAAUCAGGAACGAGUUUGGUUCUCGGCCACCAAGAGCAAGUAUUUUCAAGGU